This is a long non-coding RNA of Vigna radiata var. radiata (mung bean), 515 nucleotides long. RefSeq lists it as uncharacterized. The record is from RefSeq and is a predicted model, not a curated record. The transcript has 3 exons. NCBI's taxonomy places the organism in Eukaryota, Viridiplantae, Streptophyta, Magnoliopsida, Fabales, Fabaceae.
CUGAAAACGUAUUUCUUUUGUUCGUACACCUUUGCAUAUGGUGUUACUGUUCGUAUGAGCUUAAAGCAUUGGUUUUGGUUUUAGAAGGUUAAUUCAAAGGUUACCCAAAUGGAAGAAAUAGCGGCAUGAGCACGAGAGAGAGGAAGAGAAGGCUUCAAUGCCAAAUCCAUAGGCCAUGAGAAGUAGACAAGGGGAAGAAGAGAAUCUGAGGCUCAAACGAAGUAACGGAAGAUAGAAUUUAAGAGGGGAGGCGAGAUUUCAAGGUGAGUAAUGGAGAAAGGGAGAAACCCUAAAUCCUAGACGAAUGGGAGGUUCUUUGGUGCGAGAGCAAGAGAGAAGAGCAGCAACACGUUUUGGAAAAAAAGGAAAAGAGGACACGAGACGGAGGAAAACCAUGAGCAACGGGCGCCGAAAGUGAGAACUGAGGUACUCGAAGAGUUUUCACUAUUUGGGUUUUAAUUGGUUGUUUGAAUAUGUUGCAACCUAUAUUUUCUCUUAAUACAUGCUUCCUUUUG